This 395-nucleotide ribosomal RNA is filed under the name Upeneus pori (Por's goatfish). RNAcentral's name for it is "partial 12S ribosomal RNA". It matches the Rfam family "Bacterial small subunit ribosomal RNA", at positions 848 to 1410 of the family's 1533-position model. Lineage: Eukaryota; Metazoa; Chordata; Actinopteri; Syngnathiformes; Mullidae. The record is from RNAcentral.
UAAAAUACCACAAAUAUUAUCCGCCCGGGUACUACGAGCACUAGCUUAAAACCCAAAGGACUUGGCGGUGCUUUAGACCCCCCUAAGAGGAGCCUGUUUCUAGAACCGAUAAUCCCCGUUCAACCUCACCCCUCCCUGUCACUGCCUAUAUACCGCCGUCGCCAGCCUACCCUGUGAAGGAACCAUAGUGGGCUAUACUGGUAAUACCCCAAACGUCAGGUCGAGGUGUACCAUAUGGAGGGGGAAGCAAUGGGCUACAUUCACUGUGUCAGUGAAUCACAAAAGGUGCACUGAAAGACCGCAUCUGAAGGUGGAUUUAGCAGUAAGGAGGGAGCAGAGUGCCCCCCUGAAACCGGCUCUUGAGCGUGCACACACCGCCCGUCACCCUCUGCAGU